This 362-nucleotide ribosomal RNA is filed under the name uncultured soil bacterium. RNAcentral describes it as "bacterial SSU rRNA". It matches the Rfam family "Bacterial small subunit ribosomal RNA", at positions 26 to 368 of the family's 1533-position model. The record is from RNAcentral.
AGGACGAACGCUGGCGGCGUGCUUAACACAUGCAAGUGGAGCGACGAACCAGGCUUCGGCCUGGGGCAGAGCCGCGAACGGGUGAGUAACACGUGGGCAACUUGCCCCGAUGAUCGGGACAACCCGGGGAAACUCGGGCUAAUACCGAAUGUGCUCUCCUCUCAUCAGUGAGGCGACGUAAAGGAGUCUUCGGCCUCCGCAGUCGGGAUCGGGCCCGCGGCCCAGUUAGCUUGGUUGGUGAGGUUAACGGCUCACCGAAGGCCGCGAGUGGGUAGCUGGUCUGAGAGGACGAUCAGCCACACGUGGACUGAGACCACGGCCCAGACCUCCGUACGGGACGGCAGCGAGUGGGGAAUCUUGCG